This is a small nuclear RNA of Chlorocebus sabaeus (green monkey), 190 nucleotides long. Its record names the gene U2. It matches the Rfam family "U2 spliceosomal RNA". Rfam says of the family: U2 is a small nuclear RNA (snRNA) component of the spliceosome (involved in pre-mRNA splicing). Complementary binding between U2 snRNA (in an area lying towards the 5' end but 3' to hairpin I) and the branchpoint sequence (BPS) of the intron results the bulging out of an unpaired adenosine, on the BPS, which initiates a nucleophilic attack at the intronic 5' splice site, thus starting the first of two transesterification reactions that mediate splicing. The record is from Ensembl. NCBI's taxonomy places the organism in Eukaryota, Metazoa, Chordata, Mammalia, Primates, Cercopithecidae.
AUCGCUUCUCGGCCUUUUGGCUAAGAUCAAGUGUAGUAUCUGUUCUUAUCGGUUUAAUAUCUGAUACAUCCUCCAUCCCAGGACAAUAUAUUAAAUAGAUUUUGGAGCAGAGAGAUGGAAUAGAAGCUUGCUCCAUCCACUCCAUGCAUCAACUUGGUAUUGCAGUACCUCCAGGAAUGGUGCACCCCCU